GUUAGGAAUAUUGGACAAUGGGCGCAAGCCUGAUCCAGCCAUGCCGCGUGAGUGAUGAAGGCCUUCGGGUUGUAAAGCUCUUUAGUCCACGAAUAUAAUGACUGUAGUGGAAGAAUAAGCCCCGGCUAACUUCGUGCCAGCAGCCGCGGUAAUACGAAGGGGUCGAGCGUUAUUCGGAAUCACUGGGCGUAAAGCGUGCGUAGGCUGUUUUGUAAGUCAGAAGUGAAAGCCCAGGGCUUAACCCUGGAAUUGCUUUUGAAACUACAAGACUCGAAUUCGGGAGAGGAUAGCGGAAUUGUCAGUGUAGCAGUGAAAUGCGUAGAUAUUGACAGGAACACCAGUGGCGCAAGCGGCUAUCUGGACCGAUAUUGACGCUGAGGCACGAAAGCGUGGGGAGCAAACAGGAUUAGAUACCCGAGUAGUCC
RNAcentral lists this ribosomal RNA (425 nucleotides) under uncultured bacterium. RNAcentral describes it as "partial 16S ribosomal RNA". It matches the Rfam family "Bacterial small subunit ribosomal RNA", at positions 354 to 796 of the family's 1533-position model. The record is from RNAcentral.